UAUGAAAUAUAAAUCUCUAUACACCACAUACAAUCCCAAAACCAGUAGUACAAGUUAUAAGCUCUAUUAAGUUUUCUAGAAAAUUCCAAAAUGCAACUGUUCGGGAUAGAAAUAAACUGUACAAGAGGAAAUUUCAGAAGGUGACUCUGAGGCCUGCGAACGCAACGAUAGGUUUACCUUGAGUCUCCACAGCAAACCCAAACAACUAGCUAGUGAACAACCAACUUCGAAGUACCUGGAUCUAUACAAAAAUAUGCAGAAGUGUAGAAUGAAUACACCACAGUGAUACCCAAUAAGUAUCAAGACUAACCUCGGUAGAGUAGUGACGAGAGAUAGUACUCCUACUAGACUAAACAACCUGAACAAGUAUGAAGGCGAACUAACAGAGAAACAAUAUUAAUAUAAAGCUAAUUAAGCAUGGUAAGGAGUACAAAACAAUGCUUGCAAUGAUAUACUAGUAACAACAAUUUUUAAUAUGAAGCAAACAGGUAAUAAUGUUGUAGAGUAAGCUAAAUACAAUCUAAGUCCGAUGAAAUCAAAUAAAAGAAAAAUCAAUAACAACUGAAUAAGAAUAAUCACUUUCACACCAGAUUUAUUCAAGAAUUUCCAUGAGGUACCAAAUCUCAUAAUCACAGAUCCCCGGUCCCAAUUCAUGAAUCCUAAUCACUUAGCAUCUUGUGCCCAUAUUACAAUUCAUGAACAAACAGGCGAUUCAUGUACCAAGAGAGUGACAAUAUCUAAUAUCCGCACGGACCACUCAUGUGCCAACAAUAACAAUGACUCAUGACCAUACAGACACUCAAGUGCCAGUAGAACAACUCUCACACAGAAGGUAAGUAGACGAGAGUACAUGUAAAUGGUCUAUAACAUCAGGAUUCAUCUUAUUAAACCUAUAUGGGUGAUUAAAUCAUGUGUAUGCUUGUGCAAGUGUCCUAACAUAACUCAAGUCAACAAGUAAGAGUAGUAACAAUAAAUGGCACAUAAGAAACGAUCACCACAAAAUGUACUAUAUAAUAAAGACAGUAAACAACAAGAUCAACUACACAGAACUAAACAAAUAUUGCAACACGAAGAAGGACAAUUAAUAGUAUGCAAAGGAAACAAUGAUCAAAGACAUGUACAAAAGAAUGAGAAAAUGUCAAUAAGAGUCACUACUGAGGUACCACCUCGUUGUCUCAAAUAACGAAAUGUAUCACAAUCUUUUCUUAUAUCACUGCGGGAGCCUUUACAUUUAGUUUUGAAAAUUAUUUUUCCCAAAAUAGCAUUCCACGUUUUAUCCCACCUUAUCAAAUCGUAUGGCUUCUAGCAGUUCCCCUACUAGUCAAGCGUAUCAAGCCCACCUUAUCUCACCCCAUGCGUUUCAACACCCAGACUUUAUACCACCGCAUGCGUAUCAAUAUCACAACGUAUCACAAUCGGACGUCAAGUGCCCACAAUCACAAUUUGCUAGAGAAACCAAGCAAUAAUAGAAUUUCACAAUAAGGAGCCCACAACUCAACCUCAAUGUACAACAACAACAACUACAACAAUAAUACGAGAAUAUAGCAAGUAAAUAAUCACAAGACCUUCAUAAAUUAAAGAAACGAAAGAACGAGCUCACAAAGAAAGGCACAAUAGGGGAUAAUGGUCUCCACAAGAAUAGCUCAACUAUGGAGAGAUAAUGUGUAUCAAUUAUUCCACAAUAGUACAAUUUGACGACAAUAGAGAUAACAUGAAUAAUUAACUCCAAAUAAGAAUACGUCAAUAAUGAAAUGAAUAACAAACUUCAUUCUCUCAUUACAGAAAGGAUAGCAUGAUAAUAAAAGAGGCAACAACUUCAAUUAAGGCACAUAAGAGUCUAAUCGGUAAUAAGGGUAGAACAUGAAGCAAUUAAUUUUAAAUAAGACACGUAAGGGUGAAUUUAGUAGGGUAAUUUAACAUGACAAAACAACUUUAUAUCUAAUGAACAUAAGAACCUAAGAGCCCUAAAUGGUCAAAUUUCCACAAAUAAGCUCGAGCGCGUACUCGUCACCUCGCGUACGUAGCCUUCACAUGAAACAAUUAGCAUAAAUAACUGAAAUCCUAAUGGGUAGUUCCCUCACACAAAGUUAGGCAAGAUACUUACCUCAAAUAAGCUAGACCGAUACUCUAAAAUGACCUUUUUGAGUGAAACAACCUUCGGAUGACCAAAAUCUAGCAAAAAUAACUUCAAAUCAUAAAUAAAACUCAUAGAAAACAAUUCCUGAUAAUAAAGAUUUGAUCUUUAAUUAAAACUAAAAAGUCAACCCCCAAGACCGCACCUCGAAAUCUCAUAAAAUUCAAAAAAAAAUGAACACUCAUUCCGAUACGAGUCCAACCAUACAAAAAUUAUCAAAUUCUGAUAUCGAAUCGCCCUACAAAUACUCAUUUUACAUUUUGAAUAAUUUUUACAAAGUUUCCCAUUUUCUUCUCUUCAAUUCAAUAAUUUAAUGAUAUAAAUAAGUUUGAAAUCAUGAAAUGUAAACAAUUUCGAAUAUAGAAUUCUUAUAAGCAAUUUCAAAUGUAACCCUUCAAAAAUCGCCCAAAUCUAAGGCAUUUAUCUUAAAAUGUGAUAAAAUAGCCAAACCCUCGAAAUAGAGUUCUUAUAACUCUGCCCAGUCAUUCCUCAUAUGCGACUACGGAAUACACCCCGCGAUCGUGGAAAGAAAAAAUCAGUACUCAUGGAAAUAAGCUAUGCGUUCUCCAAAAGCACCUCGCGAACGCGAUGAACACAUUACAUAACCUUCGCGAACGCAUACCAUAUUUCGCGAAUGCAAUGAGUAACAUUCCACCAGUCCUCAGCUCCCUUAUGUGAAUGCGGAACACACUACGCGAACACGAACAACAACCAGCUAAACCUUCACGAAUGCAUGCCCAUUGUCGUGUUCGCGAUGAGAAAAAUACUAUGUUUCCCAGAAUCACUUCGCUAUCGCAUCUUCAUCUUCGCUAUCACGAAGAGCAAUAGUGACACCCGAAACCAACAACUCAAAUCAUGAAGAAAUGGCCCUAGCCCAUCCGGAACACACCUGAGACCCCCGAGAUCCCGUUGAAAUAUACGAACAAGUUCCAUAACAUAACAUGGACCCACCCUAGGUAUCAAAUCACAUAAAACUAUGUCGAAACUAUGAAUCGUACUACGAAUCGAACUUAUAAAUUUUCCAAUCUUCUAACUUCCAAAACUAGCACUGAAACAUAUCAAAUCAACUCAAAAUAACGUCAAAUUUUGCAUUCAAAUUCCAAAUGGCAUAAAAGCAACUAAUCAAACUCUUGAAAUUGCAUUCCGAUCCCGAUAUCACCAAAGUCAACUCUUGAUCAAACCUCUUAACCUUUUAAAACUUCAACUUUCCAAUUUAGCAGAAAUGCUUCAAAUUAUCCUACGAACCUUUGAAUCUAAAUUCGAACGCAUGCCUAAGUCCAAAAUCAGCAUACGAAGCUAUUAAAAUCAUCAAAACACCAUUUUAGAGUCGUCUACAUAAAAUCAAACUGCAGUUAACUCUUAUUGCUUAAGAUUCUAAAACAAGAAUCCUUCUUCCAAAUUGACCUUGAAUCCUCCAAAACUAAACUCGGGCACACAUGCAAGUGAUAACACAUAAUUCAAAGCUGCUCGAUACCUUACGUUGUCGAACAAGACGAUAAUUUUUAAAACAACCGGCCAAGUCAUUACAAUUGUUGAUUUGAGGAUUGUUGGUGCAGUGCUUAGCAAUUGUGAGGUCGGGCUCAGAUUUGCAAGCAUCGUUUUUGCGAACAAUAGUUUGCAUUUGUGAGUAGUGGCCUCGGCUAGGUGGCAUUGUAUUUGUGAGGAAAUGGUUCACAAUCACAAAUUGGCUGGGACCGCUUUUGCGAUCAUCUUGGUUGCAUUUGCGACCUCUGGAACUUUGGACAACAUCGCAUUUGUGAAGCUUUGGGCGCAUUUGCAAUGGGAGCAGACAUCACAAUUGCGAAGUCAAUGUCGAAUUUGUACCUUCCGUUUUGAAUAACAGGCACUGCAAUUGCGAGUCAUUCUUUGCAAUUGUGAGGGCUCGCAAUUACAAACCCGUAAAUGCAAUUACAACACAUGCGCCUGAACAUAAGGUCUGAAAAUCGAGAUUUGAGUCUCAUGCUCUCAUUUUGGAACCCCAAACUCGGUAGGAGGCGAUUUUGAGAGGGGAUUUUUACCUACAAUUAUUGGGUAAUUGAUUUUGAUCUAUUUUCAAUUAUAUUACACGAUUAUACAUUAGAUUUAACAUCAAAUUCAUGAUAAUAUAAUAGAAAUUUUGGAGAUUUUUAUCUAUGUUUUUAAAAAAUAAAAAUUUGGAAUUUUAGAGUUGAAUUGGACUUGGAUUUUGAAAUAAAAUACAUAAAUAAACUCGUGGGGUUAUAGGUAGUCAAGAUCUACACUUGAACUCGGGUUUUGACCGGGCGGGACCGGACUUGACUUAAAAAACGGUCGUGGUUGAGUGUUAAUUUGGUUGCGGAAAGAGGUAAGUAUUGUGUAUAACCUUGACUUGAGGAAAUUAGGACCCGUUGAUCCAUUUUCUAUGUGAAUUAUGUGGAGAAACGUCGCAUAUCCGAGGUGUCGAGUUUAUAUGCACCGUUGUGGAAUUUAGCAUGAGAGAGUGGGCAAUUUAUUUCCAUAUCUUUGUCAUUCAAUGUUAUUUCUUGUUAUAUGCUUUAAUUAUUGCACUUGACAUCUAUGUUUUACUUGUUCACUUGUUACUUCAUUGUUAUUUACUUGAUUUGUUCAUUUCUCAUUCAAUAAUCUGCUUACUUGCUAUUUGUUCCUACUUGCCUUAUUUGUAUAUUCUCAUUAUCACAUGUUUUACCUACUUUUAUUGUCCUUCUAUUAAUAGAUGUACUCUAUUAUGUUAUUUUGCUUUCGUGAGUCAUUUAGCCAUUCUUGUAUAAUGAGUUGUUAAGGCUUAGAAUAUCGAUGUGUUGGAUAUCUUCCAUUCGUAUUGGUGGGUCAUAAAUGUAUUGUGUGCUCCAUCUUUUUUGGUUUUGAUAUUUCUUAAAUAUUGGUAUUGAGUUGUUUAUGUUAAUAAUUUAAUAUUGUUGGGAUCGGAUUGCGCGCUGCAACGAUAUUGAUAUGAAUUGAUAUUGUGGGAUUAGGCUGCACACCACAGCAGCGUUGAAAUGAUAUGAUAUUGUAAUGACCCGACCGAUUGUUUUGAGAGUUCUAGCCAUGUUUCCCCAUUUAUUGUUCCUUUUUGUAACUUGUCGGGUUUGUCAGUUCGGGUCCGAAGAGGUUUCGAAAUGAAUUGAGACACAUAGUCUCAAAGUUGAAAGCUUAAGUAGAGAAAGUUGACAGGAUAUUGACUUACGUGCAAAUGACUCCAAAAUGGAGUUUUGAUGGUUCUGUUAGCCCUUUGGGUGAUUUCGAACUUAGGAACAUAUCCGGAUUGUGAUUUGAAGGUCCGUAGUGAAAUUAGGCUUCAAAUGGUGAAAGUUGGAAAUUUGAAAAGCUUGACUGGGAGUAGACUUCUUGAUAUCAAGGGCAUAUUGGAAUUUUGGGAUUUGGAGUAAGUCCAAGGUGUCAUUUGUGACUUGUGUACAAAUUUUAGGGUCAAUCGGAUGUGAUUCAAUAGGUUUCGGCGUCGUUAAUAGAAAUUGGAAGUUUAAAGUUCAUUAGGCUUGAAUCAAUGUGUGAUUCAUGUUUUUGAUGUUGUUUGAGGUGAUUUUAGGGCUCGAAUAAAUUCGUAUGAUAUUUUGGGAGACGAUGGUAUGUUUGGUUGAGGUCCUUGGGGCAUCGGGUGAGUUUCAGAUAGUUAACGGAUCAAUAUUGGACUUGGCAUUUCAGUUGAAGACUACUGGUAUUUUGUUACUGGUUUCCUUUUAUGCGAUCGCAUGGGCAGGUCCGCGACCAUGUGUCACGCCUCUUUUUUACCACCCCGAAAGUAGUAUAAGGGAGUUUUUCCAAUUAAAGUGACGUGGAAACGAGAUUAUUUUAUUUAAAAUUCAGAGUUGCCACUUGGGAUAAUUUAUGGUAUCCCAAAUCACCGGUUUAAAAUCCCAAAUCGAGGAAGUUUGACUCUGUUUACGGUUCGCGAACACAGAAAUCCAGGUAAGGAAUUCUGUUAACCCGGGAGAAGGUGUUAGGCAUUCCCGGGUUCUGUAAUUUUAGCACGGUUGCUUUGAUCAUACUUGGCUGGUUAAAUUGUCUAAUUACUUAUUUUAGAAUGGAUUAAAAUGUAUGGCUCAAGUUUUAUACCACAGGGUCCUUGCAUAUGUCUAUGUCCCAUUUAAACUCCAAAUAAUCAGGUUCUUACCAUCGCAUGGCCCAAAUAUCUUAGCUAAUAGUCUGUUUUAUAAUCUAGCCCAUUAUCAAUUAAACCCAGGUCCAAACUAACUCUUCAAAUCAGUCCAUCCUAAAAGACCGAAUCUUUGAGAUAAUCACAGCUCCAUUCUUAAACAUCUUUAUUUUUUACAACUAAUACUUCAUGAAACUUUAGAGAUUUUCUCCAAAUUAUAUUAAACUAAUAAUGAAUAAUGAAAAAUUCAAGCCUUAACUAAUCAUGGAACUAACUUUCCUAUAAAACUAAACCAUUAAAUAUAACUAAAUUAUUUUAAGAAAACUAACCAGGAGCAGAAAAACUAUUGUUGCUUAUGGAUUAAAAGGGAGCAAACAUGUUCUUGCUAAACUUUGAACAAACAAAAGAUAACAAACUAAUGGACAAAAAUAAAGAAAACCUGCUCGAACAGAAAAGAAGCAGCAGCGCUGGAACCAUGCCGGCAACUCGAACGAAACCGACCUCACUCAAACUCCAUCUUGGAAAAGCGAAAAUCCGAAACAAGGAAGAUGAAACAGAACUUUUUAUGUGCUCUAUUUUGUAGUUGUCUUGCGAAUUAGUUUUAGAUGUUAGAAUAGUGACAAACUGAUUUUUGACGGAGCUUAGGACGAAAAGAAGAUGGGAGAUUUUGCUCUCUCUGUUUUCAACAUCUCUUUCUCAUGUGCCUUCUAUUUCGUCUUCUCACUCUAUGUGUGUGCGUGUGUGUGUAUGGCUGCUGGUUCGAUAUGGUAGAGGCAUAGAUGGGGUUGUUUGGUGUGAGGUGAGAGGUUUUCCUAAAGGUCCAUGGCUGUUGUAGCUGUGAUAGAUGAAGAAAAAGAAGCAGUGGCGAUGGGUGGUUGUUGCGGUGGUGUUGCGUAUAGAACUGGUGAACGUUGGUUGUUGCUGAAGGUUUAGGGAUGAAGAAACCGAGGUUCAAGCCAUUGGAAUGUGAAGGAGAGGAGGAGGGUCGUAUGGGGUGGGGUUCGAAAUUGUUCUCUGCUGCUUCUUUAGAUGCUUAUUUUGUAUAUGUUCGUCCAAAUCUAGAAGAAGAACGGCGGAUAGCUAUACGGGUAUAGGUCUUAGAGUCUAGGUAUUUUUUAGGCUAAUUUUGGUUAUAUAGAGAGGGUUUUUAGGUUAAGGGGUAUGAGUUUGGUAUUAUUAGGNNNNNNNNNNNNNNNNNNNNNNNNNUGAAUUUAUGAAAUAUACGUAAACUAAAGUAUUUUUGUCAUUUUUAUUUUUUGUGACGAAAUAAAGUAAAAGAGUCAAAAAUUAGUUGAAAUAGUGAUAUUAGGCCUAAACUAAAUAUUUACAUGCUAAAAUAUAAAAAAUCUUGGGGAGGGUCAAAAAUCACUUGUCUACAGCUGCCCCUUUUUGACUGGGAACAUGAAGAAUUUUCAGAUAAAGAACGACUAGAAAGGUUUUUUAACCCGACCCCUAUUUAGAGAGACUAAAACUAAGAGAAAAGGGGAAUAUGACCGAGCUCUGGUAUCUGAGCUGCCUAUAUAUCCUUGGCUAUAAAGGAAUCAGGCCACGUGUAGUUUAGAAGUGAGUGAGAUGAUGGAGUAUACCGAGGUGGAGAGCCGGUCGAGGUGUCGUUCCAUAGUCCUAUUAUUACUCAAAAAUCAAAUAAUGAAAAAUACUAGCUAAGCCUGUCAACUAUGAGUUACAAGAUUCCUAUCUAUAAGUCUUCUGAAGCUUGAUCUUGAGUCUUGAAUGACUCUUCAUGCAGACUCUAGAUUUGAACCUUGGUAUUUUUUAGCUGCAGGUGCUAGUUCAUUCUUCUUCAGCUUUUCGGAUCAAGAUCGGACAUGCAGUGCUUGUGACCUCAGCCAUGUCUUGAGCAUCUCACAUCUUUCAUCAAACUUCUGAAUUUGGAUACACUUCUUUUUUUUCUUUUUCCCCUCUUUUUUAUAUUCUAGAUUGAGGCUACUUUUGUUGGUCAUCUCAGACUGUUGACCCGCAUUCUUGUCGCGAGCUUCUUUUGUUGCUGACUUGAAUUACAUUCUGAAGUGAAUUCCCUUGUUUUCCAGGUGGGUGCCUGAUUUCUAAAACUUGAACUGUCUUCCUUCGAAACUUGAACUGCAUUCCCUUGUUCUCCAGGUCGAUUGAUGAAACUCGAAUUGUUUUCCUUGAAACUUGAGUUGUUUUCCCUUGUUCUCCAGGUGGGCACCUGACUGCUGAAACUCGAAUUGCUUUUCCCUGAAACUUGAGCUUCUUUCCCUUGUUCUCCAGGUGGGUGCCUGAUUGUUGAACUUGAACUGUCCUCCUUUGAAACUUGAGCUGUUUUCCCUUGUUCUCCAGGUGUGUGCCUGAUUGCUGAACUUGAACCGCUUUUCCCUGAAACAUAAGCUGCUUUCCCUUGUUCUCCAGGUGGAUGCCUGAUUGCUGAACUUGAACUGUCUUCCUUUGAAACUUGAGCUGUUUUCCCUUAUUCUUCAGGUGGGCGCUUGAUUUCUGAACUUGAACCGCUUUCCUUUGAAACUACUUUCCCUUGAAACUUGAACGGUCUCCCCUUGUUCUCCAGGUGGGCGCCUGACUGCUGAACUUGAACUGCUUUCCUUUGAAACUGUUUUCCCUUGAAACUUGAACUGCUUUCCGUUGAAACUGCUUUCCCUUGAAACUUGAACUUCCUUACCUUGUUCUCCAAGUGGGCGCCUGAUUGCUGAAACUCGAUAUACUUUUCCCUGAAACUUGAACUGCCUUCCUUUGUUCUCCAAGUGGGCGCCUGAUUGUUAAGUUUGAACGUUCUUCCUUCGAAACUUGAGUUGCUUUCCCUUGUUCUCCAGGUGGGCGCCUGAUUGCUGAACUCGACCUGCUUUCCCUUGAUACUUGAAACUUUUUUCCCUUAUUCUCCAGGUGGGCACCUGAUUAUUGAACUUCAACUGUCUUCCUUGGAAACUUGAGCUGUUUUCCUUUGUUCUCCAGGUGGGCACCUGAUUGCUGAACUUGAACUGUCUUCCUUCGAAACUUAAGUUAUUUUCCCUUGUUCUCCAGGUGGGCGUCUGACUGCUGAAACUCGAAAUGCUUUUCCCUGAAACUUGAGCUGUUUUCCUUUGUUCUCCAGGUGGGUGCCUUAUUGCUGAACUUGAAUUGUCUUCCUUUGAAACUUGAGUUGUUUUCCCCUGUUCUCCAGGUGGGCGCCUGAUUGCAAAAUUUUGAACUGCUUUCCUUUGAAACUGCUUUCCCUUGAAACUUGAACUGUCUCCCCUUGUUCUACAGGUGGGCGCCUGAUUGCUGAACUUGACCUGUCUUUCCCUGAAACUUGACUUGCUUUCCCUUGUUCUCUAGGUGGGCGCCUGAUUGCUGAACUUGACCUGUCUUUCCCUGAAACUUGAAUUGUUUUUCCUUGUUCUCCAGGUGGGCGCCUGAUUGAUGAACUUGACCUGGUUUUCGUUGAAACUCGAAUCAUUUUCCCUUAUUUUACAAGUAGGCGCCUGACUGCUGGACUUGACCCAUCUCCUCUUGUUACUUGAAACUAUUUUCCCUUGAAGCUUGAACCAUUUUCCCUUUUUCUCCAGGUGGGCUCCUGAUUUCAACUUGAAUUGCUCUCCCUUUGUUCUCCAGGUAGGCACCUGAUUACCAACGCUUGAAUUACUUUCCCUUUGUUCUCCAGGUGAGCUCCUGAUUUCCAUCACUUGCACUGUUUUUCCUCGAAACUUGAAUUGCUUCCCUUUGUUCUACAGGUGGGUUCCUGAUUACCAACAGUCGAAUUGUUUUCCCUUUGUUCUCCAGGUGGGUGCCUGAUUUCCAACUCGGACAGACAAAACAAAGAAAAGUUUCUGCCCCAAUUUGGUAGCGGGGCACAUCGGUGAGUGUUAAUUGCACCAUGUUACCAAAUAUCCCUUAGAAUCUGAAAGCUAGAUCCUAUUAUCUAGGAGGGUCCUGAAAACUCCUAGUAAAAUGACAGUUUUAAAGCUAAAUUAUAUUUUCUAAAGGUAUGACUUUCUCUAAAUCUUGUUAUCUAUGAAGGUCUUAAAACUAAAUUCCAUUAUCCAGGAGGGUCCUGAAAAUAUCCAAUUGAGUCUCGUCCUAAGAAUGAAAACUUCAAAACCAACUUAUAUUUCUAAAAGUAGAGCUUAUGCUAGAUCUUGUUAAUCAUGAAUGUUUGAAUUUUAACUAAGUCCCUUUGUCCAGGAGGGUCCUGAAAAUUUAUGAUCAAACCUGUCCAGUACUUGAUUUCCUUAUGGAGGGUUUCUCCGAAACAAACAAAAUUUUCUGCCCCUAUUUCAAAUCAAAGAAACGUCUUGUCAGUUUAAAACAAGGUGGUUAGUUUGUGGCAUUCUUGUUGAAGGUGGCCUCUCCACUGCCGCGCUUUGCUUUGAUUGGUUGCCUUGAACUGGCCUAGAACCGUUUGACUUUCUGACUGACUCUCAAUCGCAGGACCUUGGAUGACCCGAGUGCUUUACACCCAAACCGUUGUUUUACAUUUCUGACCCUUCUACAUGAACCUCUGUAUAUUCCCCGAAAUGUACAAACCACUCGACUUCUUGAACUUUCAUUAACCCCAUACCUUUAUUUUUUACAUCAUGUUAUUUCUGGCACGUUUUGGCCGCACUUUACUUUGUGCAAUUUGGAAGUUGGUAGUAAGAUUUGAAAACCUUCCUUACUUGCUUAAACAAGGCUGACAUUGAAAGAAACCUUAGAGAAAUAAACCCUAAAGAAAUGAAAUGCAAUGACUUUGAGAGUUGGGAAUAAAAGAAAAUCCAAAUCUGGAUGACUGUUUGAGGGAGAGAAGGAAAAGAGACUUAUCUGAGUGGAGCAGCUGGUACCAAUGAUCAUGACAUGUAUUUCGGAUUAAUCAGCCCAAUCUAUUCAAUCAAUCAUCUUUCAGAUGUCAUACCAUGUGCCCUAGGACCUUCAUAACCCAAUUUCUUUGGCCAAUCACUAACCUUAUCCGUCAUGCGGUGCCCUGAAGGGUUUUCACCAACAAACCUCUUUCAUUUUUUCAUCUCUCAAACUCACUGUCACCUUAUGGUGCCUGCGAAGGUUUUCACCUAUAAGACUCUUUUAUUUUUAAUUUCUCUCAGCUUUCUGUCGCCUUACGGUGCCCGUGAGGGUUUUCACCAAUAAGACUCUCUCAUUUUCAUUUGCUUGCUCGGAACGGAAUGUUGUCCCUGAUAUGAAUCACCUCUACCUGCUCGACUUGGCAUCUCUCGAACACUGAUCGGAAGGUCUUUCUUUGGACCGUAAUAUGGGCUUUUGGAUAGGGUUAGAAAGAAAGGAUAUCAAAAGGGUCAAAACAAUUUGAAAGGGUCCAAAAUUACAACUUUUGGAAUCAGAUUUCUUAUAAUAACUACAACUUCUGCCACAGUUUCUUUGCUUGGGGACGUUUGAAUUUUUAUUUUGAUGGGACCGAACCGUGAUGCUUCCUACCUAUCCUUAAAAGGAAUCAGGUCAAACGUAGUUCUUUUCAUAGGAAUUGCUUUGUUAUUGUUACUUCUCUUUUCCUUUCUUUCUCUUCUUUUUUUCUUUUCUUUAUUUUCUUUUCUUUCUUUCUUUCUUUCUUUCUUCUUUCUUUUUUUUCUUUUCUUUUCUCUUUAUUUCUUUCUUUUCAUUCUUUUUCCAUUUUUUCAUUUUCUUUUCUCUCUUCUUUCCUUUUUAACUUCUUUACUUACUUUUUGCGUUCGUAUGUUCUGAAUUUUGCUACUAAUUCCAAAAGAGGGGUAUGAAAGGAAAUAAAUAAGGCUCAAAAGGGGUAACAAAGGAUAAAGUGUUUAGAUAGCAGAACAAAAUGCCUUCAUUAUUCCUAUCUUCAAAACAUGCCAUGUACAAACAAACACAACUUGAACCAAAAAAUCAUACAUAAUAUCUUUUGACUGCAUCAGAAUUGAAAACUAUGUCGACACAUUUGCCUUCUAUAUCUGUUAAAUACAAAGCACCAUUGGACAACACUCUCGUUACGAUGAACGGCCCCUGUCAAUUUGGGGCGAACUUGUCUUUCGCUUCAGCCUGACGUGGAAGGAUGCAUUUCAACACUUACUGACCCACUUCAAAUUUCCGCGGACGCACCUUCUUGUUGUAUGCUCUCACCAUUCUCUUUUGAUACAACUGGCCAUGACACAAUACUGCCAAUCGUUUUUCAUCAAUCAAACUCAAUUGCUCCAAACGGGUUUUGACCCACUCAUCAUCAUCAAUCUCUGCUUUAGCAACAAUCCGAAGGGAUGAGAUUUCAACUUUCGCGGGUAUCACUGCUUCAGUGCCAUAUACCAACAAAUAAGGAGUUGCACCUACUGAAGUGUGAACAGUAGUGCAAUAACCCAACAAUGCAAAGGGAAACUUUUCAUGUCAUUGCUUGGAACCUUGCACCAUUUUCCGAAGUAUCAUCUUUAUGUUUUUGUUGGAUUCGUCGACUGCUCCAUUCACCUUGGGGCGGUAUGGGGUAGAAUUUUGAUGUGUCAUCUUAAACUGUUGACACACUUCUUUCAUCAGAUGACUGUUAAGAUUAGCACCAUUAUCUGUGAUGAUCACCUUUGGAAUCCCGAACCAACAAAUCAUAUUUGCAUGCACAAAGUCGACCACUGCCUUCUUGGUCACAAACUUGAAAGUUUUAGCUUCAACGCACUUAGUAAAAUAGUCAAUGGCCACCAGAAUGAACUUGUGUCCAUUGGAUGCUGCUGGCUCAAUUGGUCCGAUGACAUCCAUACCCCAAGCAACAAAGGGCAAUGGUGCGGACAUUGUGUGCAAUUCAGAUGGCGGAGAAUGAAUCAAAUCUCCGUGUACUUGACAUUGAUGACACUUGCGCACAAAACUGAUACAAUCUCGCUCCUUGGUGAGCCAAUAAUAACCUGCUCGAAGAAUCUUCUUUGCCAGAACAUAUCCGCUCAUAUAUGGCCCGUAGACUCCUGAAUGCACUUCGAUCAUGAUAGUCGUGGCCUGUCUGGUGCAUCUCAACAAUCCGAGUUCUGGAGUUCUUUUAUAAAAAAACUCCCCCAUUGAAGAAGAAUCCACUUGCCUAAUGUCGAAUUGUUCUCUUUUGAUCCCCUAUGGCUUGAACUGGAUAUACCCUCAUCCUGAUAUACUCCCUGAUGUCAUGGAACCAUGGUUCACCAUCAAGUUCCUCCUCAACCAUAUUACAGUAAGCAUGCUGAUCACGAGCUUGAAUAUGCAGAUGAUCAAUAUAAGUUUUGUCUGUAUGGUGCAACAUUGAUGCUAAGGUAGCCAAUGCAUCGGCGACCUCAUUAUGGAUCCUUGGAAUGUGCCUGAAUUCUAUAGAUCAAAAUUGCUGACAAAGAUCAUGCAGACAUUGUCGAUACGGUAUAAGCUUUAAAUCUCGUGUCUCCUAUUCUCCUUGAAUAUGGUGCACCAGAAGGUCUGAGUCCCCCAAGACCAAGACUUCUUGGAUUCUAAUAUCUACGGCUAGCGUUAAAACCAAAAUGCAUGUCUCGUACUCAGCCAUGUUGUUGGUACAAUAGAAACGAAGCUGAGUCGUAACAGGAAGUGAUGCCCUGUUUCAGAAAUGAGCACUGCCCCUAUCCCGACACUUUUCAUGUUGGCAGCCCCAUCAAAGAAAAUCGGGCUUUUUAUCCUUCUCGACCUUGUCGAUAUGCAUUACCUCUUCAUUAGGGAAGUAAGUCCUCAAAGGUUCAUAUUCUUCAUCCACCGGGUUCUCGGCCAAGUGAUCAGCCAAAGCUUGGGCUUUCAUCGCUGUCUGAGUCACAUAUACGAUGUCAAAUUCUAUGAGCAUGAUCUGCCACUUUGCGAGCCUUCCUGUAGGCAUGGUCUUCUGAAAGAUAUACUUCAAGGGAUCUAGGCGAGAGAUGAGGUAAGUAGUGUAGGACGACAAGUAAUGCUUCAACUUCUGUGCUACCCAAGUCAGGGCACAUCACGUUUUCUCAAGGGGAGUAUACUUAACCUCAUAAGAUAUGAAUUUCUUGCUGAGAUAGUAGAUUGCUUGCUCUUUCCUGCCGGUGAUGUCAUGCUGACCCAACACACAAUCAAAUAAAUUAUCCAAGACCGUCAAAUACAGAAUCAAAGGUCUCUCGGGUUCUGGCGGGACCAAAACAGGGGGUUCGACAAAUACUUCUUGAUCUUAUCAAAUGCUUCCUGGAAAUCAUCAGUCCAUUUGACCGCAGCAUAUUUCUUUAGCAACUUGAAGAUGGGCUCACAGGUUGUCAUGAGCUAAGCAAUAAACCUGCUGAUGUAGUUUAGCCUCCCUAAUAGACUCAUCACCUCGGUCUUGUUCCUUGGUGGUGGUAAUUCCUGGAUAGCCUUGAUCUUUGACGGAUCCAAUUUAAUACCCCACCGACUAACUAUGAAUCCCAACAGCUUCCUUGAUGGAACACCAAAUGCGUACUUUGCAGGAUUGUGCUUUAGAUUGUACCUGCGGAGCCUUUGGAAAAACUUUCUCAAAUCUUUGACGUGGUCAGGCUGCUUCCUGGACUUUAUGAUCACAUUAUCCACGUAAACCUCAAUCCCCUUGUGUAUCAUGUCAUGGAAUAUGCUAAUCAUCGCCCACAUUUAAGUUGCCCCAGCAUUUUUCAAACCAAAAGGCAUGACCCGGUAGUAGUAUGUUCCCCAUGGCAUGAUGAAUGCCAUUUUCUCUGCACCGUCCUCAUCCAUUAAAAUCUGAUGAUAUCCUGCAUAGCAGUCCAAAAAAGACUCAAUCUCAUGCUUGACACAGUUAUCAAUCAAAAUGUGGAUGUUUUGUAGUGGGAAAUUGUCCUUUAACCAUGCCUUAUUGAGGUCACAGUAAUUAGCACACACUCUGGUCUUACCAUCUUUCUUUGGCACAAGCACAACAUUGGCUAACCAUGUGGGAUACCGUGUGACUCGAAUGACCUUUGCAUCAAGCUGCUUUGUGACAUCUUCUUUAGUCUUCAAACUCAUGUCAGUUUUGAACUUUCUCAGCUUCUGCUUGAUGGGGAUGGGGGAAAUGUUGGAUCAAUUGGCAAUUUAUGGACCACCAAAUCGGUACUCAAGUCGAGCAUAUCAUCAUACGACCAUGCAAAAAUAUCCUUAUGCUCAAACAAUGCUUUAAUUAUCUCUUCCCUGAUUUGCUGUUCAAGAUGGACGCUUAUCUUAGUUUCUCUGACAUUAUCCGGGUCCCCUAAAUUGAUUGCUUCUGUAUCAUUCAGGUUAGGCUUGGGUUUUUCUUCAAAAUGACUUAGUUUCUUAUUAAUUUUUUCAAAGGCCUCAUCCUCAUCAUAUUCUGAUUCAUCAUCAUACUCUAUUUCUUAGAUUAUUAUUUCAAAAUUAGAUUGACUUUUAAGACUGGGCCGAAGAUUCCUCAUGCAUGUCAUGUCAUUGAAACCAGCAUAAAAAGAACUGUACAAAGAAGAAAAGAAAAACAAAAAAUUAAACUAUCAGGUAUGAUGGAAAAAGGAAAUUGCUUUUCAUUAAAAUAAAGGAUAACAGGGUUUGUGCAUCAACAAGCAAAAAAUAAAAGUCUGGGUCACAACCCUGGAAUGACCCAGAUAUAAAGGAAAACAAAACAAACUACCAAGACUCCUUCCGGGUAAGGAGAGAAGUAGCCUUCCAAUUGUUAAGAUUUGCAUUUGGUCCUACGAACUGCACGUCCUCUCUGCUAGAACCUUCUCCAACUUCAACCAUGUUCACAUCAUCAAACAACCUCUGGAACCUUUCAAUUAACUCCUCAUCAAUAUCAACCACAGAACUUGAAAUUGUCGUCACUGGGCAUUUCCUGGCAUCGAGCUUGACAAAAGACCUGGAGAGACGCGGAACAGGCUUUGGAAGUGCCCACGCCUUCUAGUUCAACCUUUUAGCCCUUUUCACAUCUGCCGCUAUAGAUUUGAACUCAAGACCGAACAUACCAAAUUUUCAGGGAGGGACACUGGCUAUAUGAUACACUGCAGAGAUGCACCCAGACCUUUACCGGGCACAAAGCCAUUUUUAGCAUUUCAAAGGCCACCAUAACUGAUGCGGAGGUUAUCUUUGGAGUUGGAACACAUUUCCCCUCUGAAACCUUCUCGACUGGCACUGUUUCAAAAAGUUGAUAGACCCAAGUCCCUUUGUCAUCUUCAACCUCAAUGAACGAUACGAAGGCAUCACUUUAAGCACACAAAUUAUCCUUGCUGUGCACGAUAAUCUCUUGUCUAUCCCAUUCAAACUUGACCAUCUGGUGCAAAGUGGACGGGACUGCUUUGGCAUGAUGAAUCCAAGGUCGACCCAAUAGAAAAUUGUACGAGAUGGCUACGUCCAACACCUGGAACUCCAUGGUGAAUUCCACUGGUCCUAUUGUUAAUUCAAGCACUAUAUCACCAACUGAAUCUUUCCCUCCACCAUCAAAUCCCCGAACACAUAUGCUAUUUUUGUGAAUCCUCUCAUCAUCCCCUUUCAACUUGUUUAGAGUAGAGAGAGGGCAGAUGGUUGCACUAGAACCGUUAACAACUAACACCCUGAUGACCACAAAAUCUUCUCAUUUUACCCUAAGAUAGAGAGCUUUGUUUUGUUCGGUACCCUCCACAGGCAACUCAUCAUCAGAAAAGGUGACUCUAUUCACCUCAAAUAUUUUUUUGGCGAUCUUCUCUAGAUGGUUCACUGAAAUUUUGUCGGGAACAUGAUCCUCGUUCAGAAUUUUCAUCAGGGCCCGACGAUGCUCGUCUAAGUGGAUCAACAACGACAAUAAAGAUAUCUGAGCAGGCGUCUUUCUCAACUGCUCCAUGAUGGAAUAAUCUUGUACCUUCAUUUUUCUCAGAAACUCCUCCGUCUCUUCUUCAAACACUGCUUUCUUUACUAGGACUGGAUUAUCUCUCGAUGUUUUAACUUUCCUCAACUCUUCUUGGGCAAAGCAUCUCCCCGAACGAGUUAAUCCCUAGUUCUCAUUGACUUCUUCUUUCACUUCCUUUCUCUUAUAGGUCACUAUUACCCGUUCAUAGUUCCAUUGGAUGGCCUUGGUGCUGAUUACUAGCAAUUGGGUUAUAGGCUAAAUGAUGACAGGAUCCAUACGGGCACCCUCUACAAUUAUGAUAGGCUUGUUUACCACUCCUAGCACAACCACUUUUCACUUUUCUUACUUUGUCGUGACAUCACUUGGGGAUCCUUUCUUGACUACUACAGAUGGUUCACCAUUGUCCUGCUCAACUUGUUCACUGAUCCUUCAAUUGUUGGUUUUUUAACUGGCUUGACCUCACUGGCCCGAAUCAUCAUGACAGUAUGUGAAGGCUUCUUGGGUUCCCCUCCCUUAUGUACUAUCUCAAUCAUGUUCGUUUCCUGAUAGGUUGGUAAUGGGUUAUGGUUGAUGUUGGGUGCCUCUAGAGUUUGGACUUCAAUUCGGUUUGUGUCAAUGAGCUCCUAGAUGGCAUUUUUCAAGUGCCAGCACUUCUCCGUAUCAUGUCUCGGAGUACCAAAACAAUAUUCACAGCUCACAAAGUAAUCAAGAAUCUUUAGAGGAGGGUUUGGAAAUUUCGACUCAAUUGGCCUCAACAUAUCCAACUGCCUCAAUCUGUGGAACAAACUGGUAUAAGACUCUCCCAGUGGGGUGAAAGUUUUCUUCCACUGCAACCUCUCAUUUUUGAAUGCUGGAUUGGGUUGGAAACCUGGACCGACAGGGUUUUGAUAGGCUCGUAGGGGUGGGUAACCAUUUUGUGGAGCUGGGUAGGUGUUUUGUGGGGCUGGGGCACGCCAUUGUGUGUAGGCAGGAGGUUGAGUAUAUGUUUGGGCAUGGUGGAAAGAAUUAUGAGGGUCUGUUGAUGGGAAGUAGUGUUGGGGUAGAUUAUAUGAGGUUUGAGUGUAGGUUCGGUGAUGGGUCGAGGCUGGGUAUAUUGGUAUGACGAGCCCCUGGGUCCGAACCAUGAUCCUGAAUCAAUUGUUGCCACAUCUUCUUUCUUCUUCUUUCCAAUCACUCCCCUAAUACCAUUCUGAAUGGCUUGGGUAGUUGCCUUGAUAGCUGAGUAACUCAUGAUUUUGCUUGAUUUAAGCCCUUCUUCCACCAUGCCACCCAUCUUUACUACCUCGUUGAACGAUAUGCCUAUGGCCUAUAUUAGAUGGUGAAAGUAAGUAGGCUCCAGAGACUGUAGAAAGUACUCCACCAUUUCGCUCUCAUCCAUCGGGGUGUUAACUCUUGCCGCUUGUUCUCUCCAGCAAAAACCAUAUUCUCUGAAACUUUCACUAGGCUUCUUCUCAAUUUUAGUCAAAGACAAAUGUUCUGGAACAAUCUCGAUAUUGUACUGGAAAUGACAAGUGAAUGCUUUGUCAAAAUCAUCGCAGGUAUACCAUCUGUUGUGAUCCUGACGAGUGUGCCACUCCAAUGCCGAACCACUCAAACUCUAGCUAAAGUAUGCUAUCAAUAACUCAUAUUUCCCACCGGCUUCUCUCAUUUUACUGUAGAAUCCCCUCAAGUGGGCCACCGGGUCUUCGUGCCCGUCAUACAAAUCAAACUUCGGCAUCUUAAAUCCCACAGGAAACUGAACAUCGGGAAAUAGACACAAAUCCUUGUAGGCUACGCUUACCUGGUCUACCAAUCCCUGCAUGUUUCUGAAUGACUGCUCUAGGCUUCUAACCUUCCUGAACAUCUCCUCAUGCUCUAGGUCUUUAGGUGGUUUCUCAGUCUCAACAGGGAGGUCGAAAUAUGGAGUAUAGGAGAAAGGCUCUGAGGCUUUGAAAGUAGGCUCCGGGGGGUAGUAUUGGAUAUCCCGAGUCUGGAAUAAGGUCUCACUGGAGGAUUGAUGGAGUGUAGCGGGUGGGGGUGCCACAAAGNUAGGGGUGGCUAGUGGAGGAGGGUACGGGACUAGGUUUAGGUGGNNNNNNNNNNNNNNNNNNNNNNNNNUGGAGAUGAAUCAACAGUGGGAGGUUCUUGGGAUUAAGCCAACGACGGGACGAAAGUCGGGUUGGCGGGGCAUGAUGGUGGUGGAUGCCCCUUCACCCAUGCCUGGUACAUCUCUACCAUUUGGUGUUUUAACUUGUAUAACUCCUCUUUCAGAUUAACAUCAAACUCUUCCCCCUCUCUUGACGGAUCAAUAACACUUGCAUCCAAUUAUUGGUUGGCCAUGAUCAACUUGUCUUUGGACAUAUGGUGUUGUACGGGUAAGUUUCCAGAAUGCCAAACAAACUAACCACCUGCUUAUACUUGACGCCAUAUGAAUCAAACCAAGUGUAGUUUUGGGAAUAUGUGUGAAAUAAAUAACAAAAUAAAAAAACAUUUUUUGGGGUUUUUAAAAAUAAAAUAAAAUAUCUUGAUUAUGAAAACUUCCCCCGCAGAUUUAAACAUAAAGACUAACAGACUCGAUGAGUGGACUGGCAACUUCAAAAGAAAACUGAAAAUACAGACUUGAAAUGAACUAACAAACUACCAAUACAGACUCGAAAAUAAAAUAAAAUACAUACUCGAAUAAACAAAGUCAAGAAUACAUAAGUGCUUCAACUGUUGCUCCAGUUGGCCUUGCUUCGGGCCUCCGUGCAAUGUCUUCUUGGAGGCGAAACAAGUCAUCCAUAAUCAGCCGGGCAAAAAUCAUAACUGAAGUGAAGAACAUGUACCUAGUCAUGUCUUCACACUCGUUGCAUUUCAUCACAAUGUAGUCCGCAAUUCUCCUAACCCUUUCCCUAAUAAUACACUUCUUUUAUAGCAACCAUCCGAUCUACUGAGAUCUGGCACCCAAAACUUGUUCGGAUGCAUGGUUUUGCUCUUGAAGCUACUGAAAGUCUUUCUCUAGUUGUGCCAUCAGGGCAUAACAGUGCUCCCUUUCUACUUUGAAGUCUCUCGCCUACUUGGCCAUUUCAUUUUCAAGGGCAUUGACCUUUUUCUUUAUAUUCACCAUUCCCUUGUCAUACUUAUCCUUCAGUUGCCGAACGAAACUGGUCUGCCCCUCUACAUUCUUAUCUAGCUUGGCUCGGGCAUUUGCCAGCUCCGCCUCAGUCUUUUGCAAAUCAUCCUCAAAAUCACAUACCUUUUGGGUAAGACUGUAGAUGAGCUUUUCGUCUUUUCUACUCCUGCCCGGGUUCUCAAUUGCUAUUCUCAUUUUUCGAACUUGGGCUCGGAGAGCUUCAUUCUCUUGGGCCAACUUUCUUCUUUUACCUUCGGCUUCUUGUUCUUGGAGAUCAUUGUUGAAUUCCUUGUUUCUCAGCUUCUCUUUCAGGGCGUGAAUCUCGGCUUGAUAUUCCUUCUCCUUUUCCCCCUAUGCCAGCCUUUCUUGGAUUUUGUCGUCAAAAGCUUGAACAUGAGGUCUCUUGGUAGGCCUCUCGGGUUCGGGCUUAGGCUCGUUGUUUACACAAGCCCUUUUCUCAAACCAAGCAGCAUAAUUUCGAUCUACUUCCCUUUUGCAACACCUGGUACCUGAGUGCCAUUUUUCAGAUACCGACAGUCAUUCCAAUCCUGCUGAACUAAAGCCUUGCGCAAUGUAGCUUUUGGAUGCAUCUCUAUGACCUGGGUGGUUAGAUCUUCAUCUUCAGGAACGAUCUGAUAUCUUCUUAAUUGCCUCAAAACCCUCUGCGGUGCAUAUGGUUGGAUACUCCUCACACUCAUUAACCUCGGGUAACCUUUGGUGGCAGUCAUGAAUAUGGCUUCUAUCAUUGGGAGCCAUCCUAUAGUCCACUUAUCCUAACUUGCUUUGAGAGCUUUCAAGUGGGAGACCCAUGCUUCAAACCCUUCUGGCAUGUUGUAGUCCUUUACCCUUUCCUCGUAAUUGGUAAUGAAGUUAUUUGGGCUCGAACCAUAACUCAUGAAUCUGGGAUGAUGGCGAAGAUGCUUUAUCAGCCAUAUUUGUAGAAGGAUAUUGCAACCUUCAAAGAAUUGAGCCUUAGCUCUGCAUAAUGUCAAUGCUCGACAAAUAUCAGCCAGCACUAACGGGACAAUUUUAUGAUCUUCCUUGGUAGUGAGGAUUUGUGCAAUUCUGACCAUAAGAGUAUCCAAUGUCCCUUCCUCAUUUGGAAAAACCAUGAUCCCCAUAAAUUCCACGAUAAAAGUGAAUUGGCGAUGAAUUUGCCAAAGGCCUUUAUUUUGUUUGUUACUCAAACCCUUUUCAUGUGUUUCGAACCCGGCCGAGUGCCUGAACCCGAAGUACAAGAAGUGGAAAGAACAACACCCUUUGCUUACAUGGGCCUUCUUCAUCUGUUUACUGAUAUUCAGGAGGUCAAAGAACUUAUGCACCGAAGGACCCCUUGGAAAUAUAAGUUGUUGCUUCCUUAAGUCCCAGCCAAACUCAAUGUACCCGGCCAUUUCCUCUUAAGUAGGGGUGAUCUCAAAGUCCGAGAAACAAAAAACAUUGUGGACAGGGUCCCAAAAGGUUAUCAAAGCCUUGAUUAAAUCUUCCCGCGGUUUGAUUUCCAAAAUAUAUACAAGGACACCCAACUAUUUUUUCACCCAUUUCUAAUCAUCCUCAUGUAGAUCAUUCCACCACAUACGCAAGUGUAACUGAGCUUGUUUCCUGACCAUUUUUGACGAGUCUUGGGUGGUGUUCAUUCGUGACGGGUCCUAGACAGUGUUCAUUUGUACCUGUGGAGGGUCAAGGUUAGGGUUGACUCUGGUAGAUCUUUUUUGUAAAACAGGUUUUCCAAUUUCUACAAGAAAAAUCAAUGGGCCAUGAUUCCUUCCCCUAUAUGCUAAAUUUAGCAAAAAUGACCGUUUUGCAAACGUGGUCCCUUCCCAAUUCCAAAUGAAUUUUGAGGUUGGGGAGGACUAUUUUAUGACACUUGACAAACUUGUCCGUUCUUUUACAAAAAUAGCCCUUCGACAACUGAAAAUACUCUAAGGCUAUCUCAGCAAGAACGGUUUUUAAGACAUUACCGAAGUUGGGUCGGCUUAUUUUGACCAAAACUCCAAAGUACAUUUACUUGACCGCUAACUCUCUUUUUUCUUCUUUUUUCAAAAAUAAACCCGAAUCUUAUGUAGGUUGUCUAUGUAUCCCACAUCCGGUGAGAACCAGACCUGCGUAGUUCGGUCAAUUUUGACACAUUUGAAAAGGACAGUAUUGACUCAUUUUGAAAUGACUCUCUUUCUUUUCCCCCUUCUUUUUUUUGAAAAAUUUUGUCAUAGUUUCGGGACAUUUCCAAAUACCAAAGAUUUUUCAUAACCGGGUUUUAUUUCCUUCCCCACAUCACUCUUGGUUUUUCUUUUGCUUUAUUUUCCUAGUGGGUCAGCAUCCAAGCCGAAUCAAAUAAAUGUUCACAUAACACAUAAGAUGCAUUAGGAUGGUCUGUUAUUUUGGGGCACACCUGUCCUAGACGGACCCAACCCCUAUGUUGAGUCCCUUAAGUCAAAUGCACGUGAUGCAAACAAGCGUUCCUACUAGGAAUCCGACAUUAGGCUGUGUUUUUCUAGGUUUAAAUCCUGGGGUUGUGCUCUAGACUUGGGGUUACCUGAGCUGAAAACUGGGGCCGAAGAGGGGGCGACGUACAAGGAGCACUAAAGUCUACCCGGCCUUGUCACUGGUCCAGCCUCGUUCUAUUUGGUAUAAUUUCUAUGGGAAAAACGGGACAUGCAAACAUGUGCCCCAUUUUCAGAAGACUUAGAGGGGUGGCGUAAGAAGACAGUUAUAUACAAUUCAAAAAAUAUUAAAGCGGUAAACAGAUAGCAUUUAGCACAAAAGGUUCACAGAAUACAGUAAUAUCAACAAUAAAUAAAGCCAAGCAAAAUCAUAUUAUCAAGCUCAACUUCUAAACUCUGAACCAGAGAUUUUAAGUUCUUAUCCUCAGUAGAGUCGCCAGAGCUGUCACAGCUCCAUUUUAAUACCCCGAAAGGAGUAUAAGCGAGUUUUUCAAAUUAAAGUGAUGAUCGAAACAGGAUUAUUUUAUUUAAAAUUCAGAGUUGCCACUUGGGAUAAUUUAUGGUGUCCCAAGUCACCGGUUUAAAAUCUUGAAUCGACGAAGUUUGACUCUGUUUACGGUCCGCGAACACAGAAAUCCAGGUAAGGUAUUCUGUUAACCCGGGAGAAGGUGUUAGGCAUUCUCGGGUUCCGUGAUUUUAGCACGGUCGCUUUGAUCAUACUUGGCUAGUUAAAUUGUCUAAUUACUUAUUUUAUAACCUAUGUGCAUUUGCCUAUUUUAAUUAAGAAAUUAUCUUGUAACAGGUCACGCGUAUGUGUACCCAUUUAUUUGGCGCGUCAAAAAUCGUGUCACGCGAACGUGUCCACAAUUAGUAACACUUUAUAUUUAUUUUUUAAGAAAGUUUGACCGAAGUUGCGCGAACGCAUACUCCGAUUUUAUUGUUAGAAUUGUAAUCAUGUCACGCGAACGUGUACACCACCACGAUAAUGGAUUAAAAUGUAUGGCUCAAGUUUUAUACCACAGGGUCCUUGCAUAUGUCUAUGUCGCAUUUAAACUUCAAAUAAUCAGGUUCUUACCAUCCCAUGGCCCAAAAUAUUAGCUAAUAGUCCGUUUUAUAAUCUAGCACAUUAUUAAUUAAACCCAGGUCCAAACUAACUCUUCAAAUCAGUCCAUCCUAAAAGACCGAAUCUUUGAGAUAAUCACAGCUCCAUUCUUAAUCAUCUUCAUUUUUUACAACUAAUACUUCAUGAAACUUUAGAGCUUUUCUCCAAAUUAUAUUAAACUAAUAAUGAAUAAUGAAAAAUUCAAUCAUUAACUAAUCAUGGAACUAACUUUCCUAUAAAACUAAACCAUUAAAUAUAACUAAAUUAUUUUAAGAAAACUACCCAAGAGCAGAAAAAAUAUUGUUGCUUAUGGAUUAAAAGGGAGCAAACAUGUUCUUGCUAAACUUUGAACAAACAAAAGAUGACAAACUAAUGGACAAAAAUAAAGAAAACCUGCUCGAACGGAAAAGAAGCAGUAGCGCUGGAACCUUGCCAGCAACUCGAACGAAACCGACCUCACUCAAACUCCAUCUUGGAAAAGCGAAAAUCUGAAACAAGGAAGAUGAAACAGAACUUUUUAUGUGCUCUGUUUAUAGUUGUCUUGUGAGUUAAUUUUGGAUGUUAGAAUAGUGACAAACUGAUUUUUGACGGAGCUUAGGACGGAAAGAUGAUGAGAGAUUUUGCUUUCUCUGUUUUCAACAUCUCUUUCCCCGGUGCCUUCUAUUUCAUCUUCUCACUCCAUGUGUGUGCGCGUGUGUGUAUUGAUGCUGGUUUGAUAUAGUAGAGGCAAAGAUGGGGUCGUUUUGUGUGAGGUAAGAGGUUUUCCUAAAGGUCCAUGGCUGUUGUAGCUGUGAUUGAUGAAGAAGAAGAAGCAGUGGCGAUGGGUGGUCGUUGCGGUGGUGUUGCGUGUGGAACUGGUGAACUUUGGUUGUUGCUGAAGGUUUAGGGAUGAAGAAACUGGGGUUCAAGCCAUGGGGAUGUGAAGGAGAGGAGGAGGGUCGUAUGGGGUGGGGUUCGAAAUUGUUCUCUGCUGCUUCUUUAGAUUCUCAUUUUGUAUAUGUUCGUCCAAAUCUAGAAGAAGAAAGGCGGAUAGCUAUAGGGGUCUAGGUAUUUUUUAGGCUAAUUUUGGUUAUACAGAG
This 24579-nucleotide long non-coding RNA is filed under the name Nicotiana tabacum (common tobacco). RNAcentral's name for it is "long non-coding RNA (NTAB_LNC011627)". The record is from RNAcentral. Lineage: Eukaryota; Viridiplantae; Streptophyta; Magnoliopsida; Solanales; Solanaceae.